GUAGUUUUUGACUACAUUUUUAAAACAGUAGCUGUAGUUAUAGCGAACUACAUUUUGCCUAAAAGUAGCCAAGUAGUUGACUAGUUUUCAAACAGCAAAUCGCUAUUCGCUACUUUUAAAAAUUGUUAACAACUUGAUAGAAUAGCAUGAUAUUGAGACACGGUUUGCUUAAAAUCGAUACUCAAUAGUCAAUUUAAUUUGCAUUCCUGAACACUGUAGUGAUGACAAAAAUGUUGCUUUGUGUUUACUGUUGCUACUCGUAAGUCGAUUUGUUAUAGGUUACAUUACAGUCUGAGUUAGUAUAGAUGCUCCAAAUACAGUAAAACUAAAAAAUAUAGCGUAGCGAAAUAGCGAAAUAGUUCGCUACAUUUUUUAAGCAGUAGCUGUAGUCAGUAGCGAACUACCUUUGUUCAAAAGUAGCAGUAGUUGUAGCUGACUACAUAUUUUUGAAGUAGCUGUAGCGAACUACGACAAUUUUGUAGUCAACCCACCCUUGAUUAAGCGGCACCGUAUUAAGCGGUCACCCUUUGUUAAGCGGUCAUGUGGCAAAGUCCCGAAAAUUUCAUAAUAUAAAUACUAGUUAAGUGACCUUUAUUGAACGGUCACCUCUAUUAAGCGGACGCGGUCACCCUUUCCACGGUCCCAAACUUAAUUUUUCAUUGUUUUGAAACUGUAUUAAACGGUCAGUGGAAAGUAACUACAGCAAACAUGAAACAUAAUACAAUAUAUUAUUAUAAUUAAAUCUUUAUUCGGC
Non-coding RNA from Paramuricea clavata, 754 nucleotides. Lineage: Eukaryota; Metazoa; Cnidaria; Anthozoa; Malacalcyonacea; Plexauridae. The record is from the annotation of a GenBank genome assembly.